RNAcentral lists this ribosomal RNA (2669 nucleotides) under activated sludge metagenome. RNAcentral describes it as "bacterial LSU rRNA". The stretch from base 1 to 2106 matches the Rfam family "Bacterial large subunit ribosomal RNA". The record is from RNAcentral.
UCAAGCUACUAAGGGUAUAUGCACGGAUGACUUGGUUAGGUGAGGCGAUGAAGGACGGGGUAAGCACCGAUAUGCUUCGGGGAGCAGCAAACAUGCUUUGAUCCGGAGAUUUCCGAAUGGGGCAACCCUGCGCGUAGAAAUACGCGUAACUCUGCGAUGAAUACAUAGUCGUAGAGAGCGAACGGGACGAAUUGAAACAUCUAAGUAAGCCCAGGAGAAGAAAUCGAAUGAGAGUCCCCCAGUAGAGGCGAUCGAAAAGGGAUGAGUCUAAACCGCGCGAAAAUUCCGCAAGGAAAAUUUGCGCGGGGUUGCGGGACCUCGAUGUGAUAGUCAGAGGGAUAGCAGAAUUGCCUGGAAAGGCAAGCCAAAGAGAGUGAGAGCCUCGUAAGCGAAAUUCUGAUGACGUCUAGAGGUAUCCCAAGUACCACGGGACACGGGAAAUCCUGUGGGAAUCCAGGCUGACCACAGUCUAAGACUAAAUACUACACCUAAACCGAUAGUGCACCAGUACCGUGAGGGAAAGUUGAAAAGAACCCCGGGAGGGGAGUGAAAUAGAACCUAAAAUCAUAUACCUACAAAGCAGUGGAAGGGCUAUGCCGUUGGCGCAAGCUGACGGAAUGCCUGACCGCGUACCUUUUGCAUAAUGGUCCGACGAGUUUAUGUUGCAAGCGAGUUUAAGUGUUGCGUGAAAGCGUAACAUGGAGGCGUAGGGAAACCGAGUGCUAACCGCGCGUUUAGCUUGCAAUAUAAGACCCGAAGCUGAGUGAUCUAUCCAUGGCCAGGGGGAAGUUCCGGGAAACCGGGAUGGACGCCCGAACCCUCGAGCGUUGAAAAACUCUUGGAUGAGCUGUGGAUUGGAGCGAAAGACUAAACAAACUCAGAAAUUGCUGGUUCUCCCCGAAACAAUUCUAGGGUUCGCCUUUAGAAACUACAUCGGAGGGGUAGAGUGCUGAAUGGACUACGGGAGUCUACCGACUUGCUGAGUCCAACCAAACUUCGAAUACUACGAUGACUAUCUAAGGAGUAAGACGACGGGGGCCAAGCUCCGUCGUCAAAAGGGUAACAGCCCAGACCACCAGCUAAGGUCCCUAAUCAUAAGCUAAGUUGUAAAGGAUGUGGAUCCGCAAUAACAGCCAGGAUGUUGGCUCAGAGGCAGCCAUCAUUUAAAGAGUGCGUAACAGCUCACUGGCCGAGCGAGUCUGCGCCUAAGAUGACCGGGGAUCAAGCUUAUAACCGAAGCUGUGGGUUCGAUCUGCCUUCGGGCAGAUAGAGCGGUAGGGGAGCAUCGUCCAAUUGGGUGAAGCUGUACCGUAAGGAGCAGUGGACAUUGGACAAGGGAUUAUGUCGGAAUGAGUAGCGAAAACGUCUGCGAGAAACAGACGCGCCGAAAGUCGAAGGUUUCCUGGGGAAGGUUAAUCCACCUAGGGUUAGUCGUGCCUAAGCUGAGGCCUAAUGGCGUAGGUGAUGGACAAAAUGUUAAUAUUCCUUGACUAACUGAUUGGCGUUAUCACUUGUGUGUGACACAGGAGGGACGAGUCUGCGAGGUGUUGGAUGUCCUCGUUUUUGCAUCCGGAAGGAUGCGAAGGGACCCUGAGGUUUCCGAGGGGGAAGUGAAUCGAUUCCACACUGUCCAGAAAAACCACAUGAGGAGUCAAUCGGUUACACGUACCGGAAUCCGACACAGGUAGACCACCAGAAUAUGGUAAGGCGAUCGAGAUAACCCUCUUUAAGGAACUCUGCAAUCUAGCCGCGUAAGUUCGCAAUAAGCGGUGCCCUGCCCCGUAAGGGGAUGGGGUCUCAGUAAAGUGGAUCGGGUGACUGUUUAGCAAAAACACAUCUCUCUGCAAACUCGUAAGAGGACGUAUAGGGAGUGACACCUGCCCAGUGCUGGAAGGUUAAGGGAAUUCGUCAGUUGGGAGCAAUCCUUUCGAAGCGAUGAACCGAAGCCCCAGUAAACGGCGGCCGUAACUAUAGGCUGGACCAAAUGUAGUUGUAAAAUCUGGCUAUAUGCUGGAAAAUCCCGUUAAGCUGAUGGUACAUCCCGAAUAUUAUCGGGAUCGUGACAAUCUGUCAGAUAGGGAUUAUCAGCAGGAAAGACCUGAAGGAGGUCUCCAUGAAAGCUGAAAUCGGCUAUUAUCUUGCCGGUUUUGCCGACGGAGAAGGGAGCUUUAACGUGUCCUUUCGCCCAAGGCAAGACUACAAAUCACCAUGGAAAGUUUCUUUGUGUUUCAAUAUCUCUCAGAAAGAUAAAGUUAUUCUUGCUUUAUACAAACGCUAUUUGGGCUGCGGCACACUUCGCGGCAGGCCUGACGGUGUUUGGUAUUUCGAAGUGAAUAAUCUAAAUGCAAUCAGGGAGAUAGUAAUACCUUUCUUCAAAAGAUAUCCGUUCCUAUCAGCGAAGAAAAAACGCGAUUUCGCGAAAUUCUGCGAACUUGCCAAGUUGAUCACGAACGAAAAUCAUCUGACAGAAGAAGGUAUAAAGAAAAUACUUGAGAUACGAAGAGACAUGAAUGAUGGUGGUAAACGAAAAUACAGCGAAAUGGAGAUACUCAGUAAGCUGAAGGAAUCCUCAGAGACUAUACGCCAGACUCCUCAAACAGGAGAUGAUAUAGUCCGGUCUUCCGAGGAAUCGGAAGUUAACAUACACGAACGGUCCUAAGGUUAACGUC